AACAUAUUUUUUUGGUAUUUUUGGAAUUAAAAUAAAUGCAAAAUUAAAAUGGACAAAAUAUGGUCAAACCUCAAAUUCAAUUCAAAUCAAUUUCAACAAGUCCAAUUAAAUUCUCAUAGGUCUAACAUGGUCAAACAAGGUUUGACAAAUUUUUGCAACAAUUUUUGAAAUUAGAAACUAUUUUAAAACAAUUAAAAACAAUAAAAAUAACACAAUAUGAAUUAAAAUCUCAAAUAAAUCUCAAAUCAA
This 249-nucleotide long non-coding RNA is filed under the name Lathyrus oleraceus (garden pea). Its description in RNAcentral is "Pisum sativum (pea) long non-coding RNA (PSAT_LNC034648)". Lineage: Eukaryota; Viridiplantae; Streptophyta; Magnoliopsida; Fabales; Fabaceae. The record is from RNAcentral.